Molecule: long non-coding RNA, 972 nt
Filed under: Homo sapiens (human)
Lineage: Eukaryota; Metazoa; Chordata; Mammalia; Primates; Hominidae
Description: HSALNT0391016
Source: RNAcentral
GUGCGAUCUUGGCUCACUGCAACCUCUGCCACCCGGGUUCAAGCAGUUCUCCCUGCCUCAGCCUCCUGAGUAGCCGGGAUUACAGGCACGCGCUACCAGGCCCGGCUAAUUUUUUUUUUUUUUCUUUUUUGGUAGAAUCGAGGUUUUGCCAUGUUGGCCACGUUGGUCUCGAAUUCCUGACCUCAGUUGAUCCGCCCAUCUCAGCCUCCCAAAGUGCUGGGAUUUCAAGCGUUAGCCACCGCACUCGACCAAAUGACACUGUCUUAAAUGAUUUAAUGUCUUAAAUCGGGAAAGGAGAGUAAGAGAAAGCACUCAAUGGAGUCAGAGGUGUCUUGCAGCCUAGCUCUUUCCACAGACAAGCCACAUGGGCCUAUCAUCUAACCUUUUCAAACUUCUCCAACUGCUUCUGUGAUGGAGGGAUUUGGGCUAGAGGAUCUUUUUAUUUUAUUUUAUUUUAUUUUAUUUUGGUGACAGAGUCUCACACUGUCGCCCGGGCUGAAGUGCAGUGGCACAAUCUCAGCUUGCUGCAACCUCUUUCUCCUGGGUUCAUGCGAUUCUCCCGCCUCAGCCUCCCAACUAGCUGGGAUUACAGGCGCACACCACCACACCUGGCUUAUUUUUUGUGUUUUUAGUAGAGACGGAGUUUCACUAUGUUGGCCAGACUGGUCUCGAACUCCUGACCUCGUGAUCCGCCCACCUCGGCCUCCCAAAGUGCUGUGAUUACAGGCAUGAGCCACCGCGCCUGGCCGAUGAUCCCAUUUUUCAAAGUAGGCUGGGCGCGGUGGCUCACGCCUGUAAUCCCAGCACUUUGGGAGGCCAAGGUGGGCGGAUCACGAGGUCAGGAGAUCGAGACCAUCCUGGCUAACACGGUGAAACCCCUUCUCUACUAAAAAUUCAAAAAAUUAGCCGGGCGUGGUAGCUGUAGUUCCAGCUACUGGUUGGGGGUUGGGAGGCUGAGGCAGCAGAAUGGCG